UACGUAGGGGGCAAGCGUUGUCCGGAUUCAUUGGGCGUAAAGAGCGUGUAGGCGGCCAGGUAGGUCGGUUGUGAAAACUGGAGGCUCAACCUUCAGAGGUCGACCGAAACCAUCUGGCUAGAGUCCGGGAGAGGAGAGUGGAAUUCCUGGUGUAGCGGUGAAAUGCGCAGAUAUCAGGAAGAACACCCGUGGCGAAGGCGGCUUGCUGGGCCUUACCUGACGCUGAGGAGCGAAAGCCAGGGGAGCAAACGGG
Molecule: ribosomal RNA, 253 nt
Filed under: uncultured bacterium
Lineage: Bacteria
Description: partial 16S ribosomal RNA
Rfam family: Bacterial small subunit ribosomal RNA
Source: RNAcentral